AACGAACGCUGGCGGCAUGCCUAACACAUGCAAGUCGAACGAGAUCUUCGGGUCUAGUGGCGCACGGGUGCGUAACGCGUGGGAAUCUGCCCUUUGGUUCGGAAUAACAGUUGGAAACGACUGCUAAUACCGGAUGAUGACGAAAGUCCAAAGAUUUAUCGCCAGAGGAUGAGCCCGCGUAGGAUUAGCUAGUUGGUGUGGUAAAGGCGCACCAAGGCGACGGUCCUUAGCUGGUCUGAGCGGAGGAUCAGCCACACUGGGACUGAGACAGGGCCCAGACUCCUACGGGAGGCAGCAGUGGGGAAUAUUGGACAAUGGGCGAAAGCCUGAUCCAGCAAUGCCGCGUGAGUGAUGAAGGCCUUAGGGGUGUAAAGCUCUUUUACCCGGGAUGAUAAUGACAGUACCGGGAGAAUAUGCUCCGGCUAACUCCGUGCCAGCCGCCGCCGUAA
Molecule: ribosomal RNA, 449 nt
Filed under: uncultured bacterium
Lineage: Bacteria
Description: partial 16S ribosomal RNA
Rfam family: Bacterial small subunit ribosomal RNA
Source: RNAcentral